UCCGAGGGGUAUAAAAGACAUGGCUGGACCAAGAGAAAAGCAUCUCAGAGAAGGAUUGCAGAAAGGAAGCUAGGAGUUCCUCAACUCACCUUUGGUUCACAUCUCAGCACUUGCUCCUCCGCAAGAAAAACAAACGCAAUGGACCCCGCAGGAUCCGCAGACGGAAAGAAGGGACCCCCCAAGUUCAAGCAGAGGGCGGCCCGCACCUUCAAGAGCAAGGCCCCCAAGCCUGGCCAGAAAGGGUUUGGUGAUGACAUUCCUGGAAUGGAGGGCCUAGGCACAGGUAAGGACACAGUUG
Molecule: long non-coding RNA, 298 nt
Organism: Alosa sapidissima (American shad)
Lineage: Eukaryota; Metazoa; Chordata; Actinopteri; Clupeiformes; Clupeidae
Exons: 3
Source: RefSeq, a predicted model, not a curated record